UCCCCUUGUAAUCUACCAGGACAAUUUUUACUCAAGUACAGCCUCCCUUCCCCUGCAGCCUCCAAAGGGACUGGGACUACAGCUCCCAUCAUCUCUAACCGUCAUAUCCAGUGGGUGGGUGUGAUGCAGUUUGUAAUCCCAGCACAUACGAAGAUGCCAACGCAGGAACCAUUACGGGCCCAGGUCUUCUCCGCACCAACUUUAUCUUUGGAAAAAAUGGGCACCAGCAAUUAUGAAACUUCCCCACGUGCCCAAAUGAAGCGUAUGCCCUAUUGGGAAGCAGAAGCCACAACGUGUCUCUUGAAUCAAAACUUUGCUUUUGCCCACCUGAGUCCCUCCAGCAUUACUGGCUCCCAGAAUUUCCAGAGCUUGGGAAGUUGGAAUCCAGACCCAGCUGGAACCCACCAAACUAAAAUGCCACAGGCACUGUUGAUUCCCAGUUCCUGGGCUCCUGGUACUGAGAAGACACACACGGGCACCAAGAUGGCCACUGGAAACUUAGCAAAAGCAGUUGGCAUAAAGAGGAUCUCCGGGGGCAAAGUAUAAAAGUCAGCUGCAAAGAUCAGGAACCUAGAACCGCAAUGAAUUCAGGAAUUCCAAGUCAUCUAACUACAUUCAGGUGUUGACAAUUGCCAUUUAAAAAGCUAGUGGCCACUAUAGGAAGAGGUGGGAGAAAAUGAAUUUUCUUGGGCUGUUGGCAUGCUUUGAGUUGGUGGUUUUCUUGCAGGCGUUUCAUUACCAGGCUAAAAAACAUCAUCAGUGCAUGGAGGAGUGAAGUUGGCAAAACCAACAGUAAAACUUUGAGCUACAUCCAUUUUCUACUACUGUUGAGAAACACUGGUAUAGAAAGUUAAUUUCCCUCUGAUGCUGGUCCUUCUGUUUCAGCAAAAUGUACUGACAGCUAAAGAAACUCUGUUUUAAACAGGAAGCUGAUAGUUCGAAACACAUCUUCCACCCUCAAUAAUAUUGGUCUUAAGUUUCCAAAGGAUAGAAAUUUAUCCUUCCUCCCUCUCUUCUCAUAUCCUCAUCCUAGGAAGGCAAAUUUUUCUCAUUCUUUUUUUUUCUCCAGCAACAAUUUGUGCUCUUGACCAAGAAUUAAACUUAAUACAGACAGGGAUCAGCAAAAACACCCAGGAAAAAACUCCUACAGAAUGAAACAAUGGAAGAAACGCAACUUUAAAAUUAAAACCAUUCAACGGUC
This is a non-coding RNA of Python bivittatus (Burmese python), 1201 nucleotides long. The record is from RefSeq and is a predicted model, not a curated record. NCBI's taxonomy places the organism in Eukaryota, Metazoa, Chordata, Lepidosauria, Squamata, Pythonidae.